This 329-nucleotide ribosomal RNA is filed under the name uncultured eukaryote. Its description in RNAcentral is "partial 18S ribosomal RNA". It matches the Rfam family "Eukaryotic small subunit ribosomal RNA", at positions 1470 to 1796 of the family's 1831-position model. The record is from RNAcentral.
CCCUUAGAUGUUCUGGGCCGCACGCGCGCUACACUGACGGAGGCAGCGAGCGUGUCCUUCGCCGGCAGGUGCGGGCAAUCUUGCGAGUCUCCGUCGUGCUGGGGAUAGAUGGUUGCAAUUGUCGAUCUUGAACGAGGAAUUCCUAGUAAGCGCGAGUCAUCAGCUCGCGCUGAUUACGUCCCUGUCCUUUGUACACACCGCCCGUCGCUACUACAGAGUGCCCGUGUCCAAGAAACGGUCGGACCUGUGCGGCCUCUCCGGGCGACCGGAGGGCCGUUACGGGGAAGACCCUUUAUUUGACGCGGGUCGAUGAAGUAAAAGUCGUAACA